UACCAGCACCCCGAGUGGUCGGGACGUUUAUUGGGCCUAAAGCAUCCGUAGCCGGUUCUACAAGUCUUCCGUUAAAUCCACCUGCUUAACAGAUGGGCUGCGGAAGAUACUAUAGAGCUAGGAGGCGGGAGAGGCAAGCGGUACUCGAUGGGUAGGGGUAAAAUCCGUUGAUCCAUUGAAGACCACCAGUGGCGAAGGCGGCUUGCCAGAACGCGCUCGACGGUGAGGAGCGAAAGCCAGGGGAGCAAACGGG
This 253-nucleotide ribosomal RNA is filed under the name uncultured archaeon. RNAcentral describes it as "partial 16S ribosomal RNA". It matches the Rfam family "Archaeal small subunit ribosomal RNA", at positions 474 to 727 of the family's 1478-position model. The record is from RNAcentral.